This is a long non-coding RNA of Taeniopygia guttata (zebra finch), 6779 nucleotides long. The record is from Ensembl. NCBI's taxonomy places the organism in Eukaryota, Metazoa, Chordata, Aves, Passeriformes, Estrildidae.
UUUUUUUUUUUUUUUUUUUCUACUUCCUUGAAGGCAUUUUUGCGCUUAAGUAUCAUUUGUGUAUCGGUGCCAAAUCUCCACCUGCAAGAUAACUACUGGUUGUGUUGAUGAACCUCGGAGUCUUUCAGGAAGCUUUGCCUUCUUUACCCCCAAGGGAACUAGGUGAAUAAAGGUUUAAAUAUAUGGUAAAUCUGAGCAUGAAGAGGCUACUAGGGAGUCUGCUAUCUACCUUGGUGACAAUAGAUACCGGACUUCGAGGUGAGAUGGAAGAGAGAGAGCCAGGGGAAGGCCAGGUGAGCAUAGCACCUCUGCUACUGUUUUGAGACUUCUUUAUAGUAGCCAUACACAAAAUGAGGGUUGCUUGGCCACAGCAGCAGAGGGGAGGUGGGGGCCUUGGAUUCACAAGGUGUGUGCAGAGGUAGUUCAUCAAAGGGAACAGUGGGACAUGUGCAAGUUGUUCCAAUGUGGAGUAGCACAGAAACUCCCAAAUAGUUGCAUUAGGAUAGAUUUGGUAGUGCUAUUUCUGGCAGCUGGUUGUCUUAUAUGACUAUGAUGAAUCAGAAAGUUGACAAUAGUUAUUCAAAAAUAGUGACUGUGGAUAGUGUUUUCAGGAAUUAAUGACAAGAGAUGACUAGUGCUAUGCUACUACACAUGCUAUUACACUUCUAUGGGAAGUGUAUGAAAUUGGUUUUAAAUAUUGAGCUGCAAAUGCCAAUUACAGUAGCAGUUGAAUACAAUUGUGAAGACAUCCCCAAAAACCAGCAAAAAAUAAAAUUGUAUUUCCAAAUAGAUGUCAGCUUCAGUGAUGAAACUUCAAGGUGAAUCACUGCCACACAGGCUGUAAGCAACAGAUUUAAAGUGCUUGUCUUUGGCUCUGUCAAGCCACUGUCCCAUUCACACGAUCACAGGGGUGUCCUAACUUCUUUUUUAAAUGCAAUCUCCUUUAAAUGAAAAUAAUAGUGCUCUUCAUCUGGUGAAUGCCUCAGCAUUAGCAUUGGACUAAUCCUUUCAUGGUGGGGUGGUGUUUUAGGUUUAUAGAUCCUACAAUGCAUUAGGUAAUACACAGAAAGAAGGCAGCAGCACAAAUAUUGCAUUCUUACAAAAUGCAAUGACCAAUUCAGUUCAUCGCUUAUAACAACAGUCUUGGUUUAUACCAAGCAUGGAAAAUACUGGCUGUUCCUUUAUUCCUGGAGCAAUUAAACAAAGCAUUUGGUAUCAUAUAUCUCUUAACAACAGUGCAUCUGGCAUGUUUAGUAGAUCUUAGUAGAUUAUAUUAUUGUUGGACCAUGAGAAAAGGACUUAGUUAUAUAUUACUUCUUUCAAAAGGGGGUGUUCCACCUUCCACCCCCCCCACCCCCCCCCAAUUGUCAUAUUUUCACCAGAUAACAAGCCAGUGGCAAGAAGCUUUAUGGCCAAACACUGAGGAUUCUUUACAAUGCUUUCCAUGUACUAGUCUUCCUGUUCCCAGUAAGGUCUGACAAAGUCUGACAAAUUAGAGGACUGGGCAAUCACCCAACUUUUGUUAAACAAAAGCAAGUGUUUAACAAAAGCAAGUGUUGGAUUUGUACCUGGGAUGAGGCAAUCCUGAGUGUACAGAGAGAACAGGGAAUGGGAUACUGGAAAGCAGUGACAUGGAAAGGGAAAGGGACCUGGGUGUCCCAUCACCAGCUGGGCAAGGGAGGGCAUUGUCCUGCUCUGCUCUGCACUGGGGCAGCCUCACCUCAAGUGCUGGGGGCAGUUUUGGGCACCACAAUGUAAGAAGACAUUAAACUAUUCGAGAGUGUCCAAGGAGGGCAACAAAGAUGGUGAAGGGCGUUGAGGGAAAGCUGUGUGGGGAGCAGCUGAGGGCACUUGGUCUGUUCAGCCUGGAGGAGACUGAGGGGAGACCUCACUGCAGUUACAACUUCCUCAUGAGGGGAAGGGGCAGGCACUGAUCUCUUCUCUCUGGUGACAGGACCAAGGGAAUGGCCUGAAGUUGUUUCAGGGAAGGUUUAUGUUGGGUAAUAGAAAAUAAUUUUUCACCCAGAUGGUGGUUGGGCAUUGGAAUAGGCUCCCCAGGAAAGUGGUCACAGCACCAGCCUGACAGAGUUCAAGGAAUAUUUGGACAAUGAUUUCGGGCGCAUGAUGUGAUAUUUGAGGCUGACCUAUGCAGUGCCAGGAGUUGGAUUUUGAUUAUCCUUGCUGGUCUCUUCCAACAAGAUAUGAUAUGAUUCUAAGAUGUAAGAUGUCCUUUGUGACACCUCUCAAGCACCUUUAAAUAGAUUUGUUGGGAGCAACUGCAGCCAGCGCUUUACUACCACAAACUGUAGGCAGUUAUCAGGUCAGAACACUGUAGCAAUAAUUGAGAUACACUGUGAAUCUCUCUAAAAGGUGUUGAUUUGUUUACCUCCUUGUAAUGUUACAUUGUUUCCUUUCAACUUCUCAUCAGCUUGAGACUUUGUAUUUUCCAGUUUGUUCUCCACAUCAACUCUUCAUUCAAGGAUCUUUAGUGUGGCCCUGAGAAGCUUUUAUGAUAAUUUUAAGAAUUUCAGCAUUUUCACAUUAUUUAGUGGACAAAAUAAAGACUCAAGUAAUUUGGAGGCUGAGUAAAAGUGAACUGAGCUGUCUUAGCAUUUAUUACAAACUAGCUAGGAUUUAUCUCUGCCUCUAGAACUUCCUAGCAAAGGACAUUGUUGUGGAAUGUAUUCAGUGUUUUAUGUACUAUACCUUACUAUAAAGAUAUCUCAGUUUCAGAAGUAAAGCACAAUGGCAGCUUUGUUUUUUGCAAAAGCUGUGUCUAUGCUAGCAAAGCAAGAGGUGCCAGGACACAGAGCUGCAGACUUGAAGCCCAGAGCUUACACUGUUAAAUUGUUGACAGCAGAAUCCCUGCACUAGGUCCAGGACAAGCAGCAUUCUCCCAAGCCACCCUUGGCAUGGCUCAGGGGGUAGCGCAGGCCCAGCUGACAAUGCAGAUGCAGCUGUCCUGUUUUGGAGGUUGAAAGUAACAUGGAUAUGGCCACUGGAAUGAGCAACUGGCCAGAAACUGACUGAGCAGUAGUGCUCUUCAGAUUACUGGUAUGGGUAAAAUUCAAAACUGAGGAAUACAGCAGCAAGAACACCUUACCUUCUGUGUGCUGGAAUUUGAAAUACUGGUGUCUGCAAAUAUGUCAUGACCUGUCCUCUUACAGAGUCCUACACUAUUAGAAUUAUCCAUCAGUGAAUGAACUGAAAGGCAUACACACCACUCUCCUGGGGGAAGAGAAAAAUGUAAGUAUGAUGGCUGCUGAAAAAUUUCAACUGAAAAAUCAGGGUUGGGAGUAUAUGGGAACAACACAAUUCAGAGGUACACUUAAUGUGGUGAAAUCUGGGAUGCACCAAGACUGGCAUGUUGUUAAAACUGUCAGAAACUGCUAUGCAGGGUCUGAGGAAAGCACUUUCAAACAUAUAUACGCAAAAAUUGAUACAUGGACUAAAUAUCAGUUUAUUAUAAUAACAUAUUAAAAAUAAAUUCCUAUGUAUUUCUUCAACUGCUCAAUUUAGUUUUCAUAUGAUGUUUCUUUACAUUAGCUGAUUGACUUUUAGUGUUGUUUGAUGCUUUAUUUAUAAGGGUCUGUCAAGAGGUAAUUAUUAGUAGUCAAGUUUGAUGCUGAAAGAUCAAGUUCAAUUCCUUUUUUAUUCAAUCUUAGAAGUUGGAUUUUAAAAAAAAUUUACAUGUGCAGAAACUAAGAACUAAGCUUCUGCUCCAGAGCUUAUUGCAAGAGCACCCAUCAGUGAUGAGGUGAGAAUGUGCAUGACACUAACUAUAAAGCAAUCUUUCCAUUAUUAUACCAUUCAAAAUAUAUAGAUACAUAAUUUUCCAACAGUGAGAGUUUCUGAGUGUCUAAAAAGCUUCUUAGUUUGCCCAGCACUACCUGUUCCAGCUAGCUCAUGAUCCACAAAUCUCUGCUUGUCUUGUUUGUACACCCCACUCAUGGAUCAUUUUCUGAACAUGCUUACCAAACUAGGUCUUAACCAAAGAGGAGGUUGUGCAGUUUUAAUUUACUCUUGUGUGCAGGAGGAUCCCACUUCAGUUCAAAAUCUUCCAGGAAAGAGAAAUCAGUAUUUUGUACCUCAGAACAGACUGAGCUAGCCACCUGGGAAAAUAUCCUCAAGAUAUGAUUUCUUCUUAAUCUCUGUUAAGAAAGUUGCUCCCCUCUGCAUGAGAAAAGUACUAAUUAGUCCAUCUAGAAUGAUCACAAUCUUUUAAUCUUGUGGUAGGGCCUCACCUGGGAAAAGGGAGCCACAUGUGCCAGUCUUCAUUUUACAUUAGUAUUAGAUUAAAAACAAGGAAGCAGACAAAAAAUGCAACCAGUGUCAUAUGCAGAGAUCAUUUGCAGUCUGAUCACACUUCUUGUGAAGCUCUGGUACUCUACAACCUGUAAAAUCAAGAGCUUGGUUCAAUUACUUUAAAUCAGAAGUUAUCUUACACAAUUUGUAUCUCAAUUAGUAUACCAUGCCUGUGUGGCUCACCAGAGCUGGGCAAACUGAAAAUAUAAAAUAAUCCUUUCAAGGCACCAAGUAGAUGCUAUACAAGAAUACAAAAUGUUGAGAAAUCUGGAUCAGCAGACCAGUAUUUUCUCAGAAGACUGAACAAUAAAUGGAGAUCGGAAUCUCAGUGAUGCGUAUUUCAUGGAUGACUGACAAAUCACAUAUGCUACAAAAAGUAGGCACUGUCAGCCAAAUGGCUCAAUGCUAACAGCCCUGAAUUUUUACUGUAAGUGCAAAUAUUGGUACUACUCACUCUACAUCAUUGCUAUUUUGGGGAAAGUAGAUAUUUCAAUUGCAUAGAAAUAAAAAUACUCGGUAGGUCUAAAUUAAACAACAUUAGAAGGAGAUACUUGGGAAAAACUAAGGAUGGUCUUUAGGCUGGCAACAGAGCAAGGCUGUGUUGGAUCAGACUAAUGAUCUUUAUAAUUAUGUACCUGCACUAUCACUGGCUGUUUUUACCUAUAGAAGUAUCAGUUCUUCUUAAGACUGCUAAAAUUCUUGCCUUUAAGACUUCUGAGGCAAAAGUGAAGCCUGAAUGACUAUAUUUUGUUAUGAGGGAAAACAUAGGUUUUAAUUUGAAAUCUUUCAAGUGUUUAAAUUCAUGAACUAUACUCUAGAGUUUAUAGAGGGUCUUGCUUUAUAUUCUCUCAAACAGAGAAAUUUUGUAUGCAUUGAUUGAAUAUUACUUCCUCCAUGCAUUUUAUUCCUUUUCCUUGGUCUUUAAUCCUAUUCCUAAAGUAUUUUUCCUUGAUCCUAAUUUUCUCCUGAGCUCUAAUUUUUUGAGAUAAGGUGAAAGACUUAAUGCAGUAUUACAACAGAAGAUGUGUUAUUGUUUUGUUUCACUGGCUUCAUAUUAGAGUUCUAGAAAAAAAAAUUACCAUAUUCUCAAUGUUGAAUAUGUAAUAAAUAGAAUGGUGUUUUAAAAAGAUUUACUACUGGCUAUCAAAUAGACGGGUUUUUUUCUCCCCCUUAUAUUGACUUGGAGCCCAUACGGAGCAUGAAUGACUCAUAAUUCCUUCAAUAGAUUAUUUUGAAUGUAACAUCAUGAAAUUAUAUCUACGUUGUUUUGCUCAUCUCUUCCCUAGGUAGAUCUCACUGAUAUUUCUUACGGCCUCCUCUACGUUUAUCUAAAUUGCAUAUUAGCAAGUUUAUCAGACUGUAUGUCUGAUAACAAUAUCACAGAAUCCUUUAAGUUAUUACAUAGAUGUAAAUCUUUAACAGUCUUUUGUAUUAACUCAGAAAUUCCAAGUCUAUACCACAUUAAUGAUAGCCAACAUAAUUUUGAAAAAUCGGGCAAAUAACCUCUCAGCUGUAUUUUUAAAAGUUGCAUUUCUAACAGGCUACUACAGUAAAUGAAAACAUCAAAUCCAAACCCCUAAUUGGAAAUGACCCUCAAACUUGGUUAAACAGGAAUCUAAAUUUUCAUUUAGAGAAAUGGAAAGACAAACAGUAGCUGAAGGCCACUGUUAAAUUGUGUCUUAAUGAACUUUAUAAUUUACCAAUUUAAAUAACAUUUGUCAUUUAAGACUUCAAGUAAGUCUUAGACUCAUAACACUAAUAUGAAACCAUUGAAAAAAAUUAAUGAUACAUGUUUUUUUGAGAAUCUUCUGCUCAACAAAAAUUGCCUUAGUAUAUUAGAACAGUUUACUACAAAGUGAAGCAACAGCAAAUGUUUCCAAAAGUUUUGUAGAAGCAAUAAUCUAAGCAAAUAAUUAUUAAUACACAAUUCUUAUUUUCAUUAUGGAGUAGCUCUUCUCUAAAAUAUACCCUGUGUAUUAUUUUUUUCAAAGCUUUCCUUAAAAAAAACUUCUACAUAACCUUAGAAGACUCAGAAAACUUUGGAGACAUCAAAUAGAAGUGAAAAUAGACAUGGCAAAUAUCUAAGAGUCUCUGUGAAAAUAAGCCCAAUAGCAAACAAUUAAGUACAGCAUUUUAAUAAUUUUCUCAAUAUCCUCUGGAUAAUUAGGGAAUGGAUUCAGUGUAGAAAGUUGAAAUGUCAGACAGAUCUAGGAAAUGUAAUUGAAGGUCUUUUACAAAAUACAAGAACACAAAUAAAUUUGCUUUAAAACAAAACAAACCCAAACAAAAUUCCCAGCAUGAACCAGUAGAAUUCCUCUAUUCAGAAGGAAUAACAUAGGCUUUAUUCUUAGUUUCUCUUUUAAGGGAAGGUUUUGUACUCAAAGAUAUAACAGUGAAACCAAAAGAAUGUCAAGGCUGGUGCAAUUCAUAUUUAUUUGGGUAACAGUAUACUAAAGAGGUUUUUAGGUUCAUUG